Long non-coding RNA from Solanum dulcamara, 472 nucleotides. RefSeq lists it as uncharacterized. The transcript has 3 exons. Lineage: Eukaryota; Viridiplantae; Streptophyta; Magnoliopsida; Solanales; Solanaceae. The record is from RefSeq and is a predicted model, not a curated record.
AAGACAACGAGAGUAUUUCGGCCAAGAAGAACAAACUUACCCCCUUGAAAUUUCAUCCCCAAAAAUUAUUUUCUCCUAGUAUUCCCACUAAUUCAAGGGUCCUUUAUAACAUGGUGGAGUUAUUUUGGAAGAUUGGAGGCUUGUUUCAUUGAUUUGGGAGUGAAGAAGUUAGAAGGAAAAAGAUUUUGGAGGAAACAAGAAUUGAAUUUGGACAACCGUAAAAGGCCAAUAAGGUACAGACAUUCGUUUUGCUGACCCGCCUGCUUAGGACAUCUGUCGUGUCGUUGACAGUGCUCCCUUGUCCGGAGCUUAUCUUUUGGUACUGACUUUUUCUCUGUAUAUUUGUAUACGUUGGUCAGGGGUACGACGGGGCCCUGUCCCGUCAUAUGACUAUGCUAUCAUCUGUAGAGGUCUGUAGACAGAGUUAUGCUGUGGAUUUUGUAUAUAUAUUUUAGGUUUUGUGUGUUUUGUG